This is a long non-coding RNA of Glycine soja, 450 nucleotides long. RefSeq lists it as uncharacterized. The transcript is spliced from 3 exons. Lineage: Eukaryota; Viridiplantae; Streptophyta; Magnoliopsida; Fabales; Fabaceae. The record is from RefSeq and is a predicted model, not a curated record.
CAGUGAACAAUCCAAAUGUCUUGAAGUGGAACCAAAAUUAAGACUUAUUAUAGCCGUUGAUGCAGCCCAAGGACUGGAUUAUCUUCAUAAUGGCUAUAAACCUCCUUUGAUACACAGAUUUGAAGCCUUCCAACAUAUUACUAGAUCAAAGCAUGCAUGCCAAGAUUGCUGAUUUUGGUCUAUAUAGAGCUUUUGGCAGCCAUAUUGAUUCUCAUAUAUCUACACUAACAGCUGGUCCACUAGGUUAUGUUGAUCCAGAAUUUGGAUACUCCAUGCUUUUAUUCUUACCAAUUUGACAAUUAUCGAUCGGACGUGUGGAUGUAAUAAUGUUGUUAAACAAUUGAGGUAAAUUUACAAAUGCACUUAUUCUUGAUAAUUACUCAUUUAGUUUGAAAGAUACGAAGCGUCAUCUAUUUAGAGCAAAAAGACUUCUUUAUUUUGGUUGAUAAU